GAGCAGACGCACACUGACGUGGCCUUCAAUCUACGAGGACUGCAGGCUGAUGGAGAAGAGGAUCGAGGACUUCACUGACUCACUUUUCAUCUUGCUCAAGUCCAAGUGGCUGGAUAGGGCCCCCAACAAGUCUGGGGACAAGAUCCCCCUCAUCUGCACCUUGUUUGAGAAGGAGGAAUUCAUGGGACUGGACACAGACAGCAGGGCCCUGUGAUCUACACGCCUGCACACCCCUUCUGCUCCUUGGAGAUGAGGAGGUAGGUUUAGGAGCCUGGGCACUGCUGAGGGCACAGCUGCCAGCACUGUGCUGCACCGAGGCUGGCUCUGUUCACCUUACCUGUCACUUCCUUCUGAGCCCUCAGGCGUUAGUCAAGGAGGCCUGAGUUGCUGAUGAGAAGAGUUGAGGGUGGGCUGAAGAAGAGAUUGACACUCCCUCUCCUCCCGGCUGAAACUGAUGAACAAUGAAAUGAAUUAAGUGUAUCACUAUUUGACCAAUAGAAGUUAGCGAGCCCAAACUGGCUAGUUAUGCCCAAUGGAAAUUAUUGAUUUCACCUGCAGAGUUAGGUGCUUUACCAAGUAGAAGCAGCUUAGAGCAAUCAGAAAAAUCAGUCCUAUGAUGAGCUAUAAAAUGUAUAUAAUAUCUUUUAUUUCUGAAACUUUUCUACGUUAAGUUCUGU
Molecule: non-coding RNA, 677 nt
Organism: Vicugna pacos (alpaca)
Lineage: Eukaryota; Metazoa; Chordata; Mammalia; Artiodactyla; Camelidae
Source: RefSeq, a predicted model, not a curated record